CCACUCGACGAUGAAGAACUCAUCUCCUACAUCCUCAACGGACUCGACAUCGACUACAAUCCACUCGUUUCAACCAUCUUGGGACGAGUGGAACCCAUCUCAGUUAGUGAAUUAUAUGCUCAACUACUAAUGUUUUGAUA
Phragmites australis (common reed) is the source of this 140-nucleotide small nucleolar RNA. RefSeq annotates it as small nucleolar RNA Z247. Lineage: Eukaryota; Viridiplantae; Streptophyta; Magnoliopsida; Poales; Poaceae. The transcript has a single exon. The record is from RefSeq and is a predicted model, not a curated record.